RNAcentral lists this unclassified non-coding RNA (232 nucleotides) under Hevea brasiliensis (rubber tree). Lineage: Eukaryota; Viridiplantae; Streptophyta; Magnoliopsida; Malpighiales; Euphorbiaceae. The record is from RNAcentral.
GUUGCCCUUUGAGCCAAAAGAGCCAAAUUUCAACUACAGUAUCUGCACCUGCUGCGGUUAGAGAGCUAGUAUCACUUGAGGACCUGCAACUGCUUCUAUAUCAUAAACAAUAGGGUGAGUGACUGAAUUAGUAUUACUGAGAACUUGGGUGGGAAUAACAGUUUUACCACUAGGGUGACUGGGUUGAAUUGGUAUUCUUGUCUGGUUGGCCACUUGUUCUUCUCUCUUGUGG